This 482-nucleotide ribosomal RNA is filed under the name uncultured bacterium. RNAcentral describes it as "partial 16S ribosomal RNA". It matches the Rfam family "Bacterial small subunit ribosomal RNA", at positions 28 to 507 of the family's 1533-position model. The record is from RNAcentral.
GACGAACGCUGGCGGCGUGCUUAACACAUGCAAGUCGAACGAUGAAGAAGAGAAACGCGAACUUCGGUUCAACUUUCACUUCGGAUUAGUGGCAGACGGGUGAGUAACGCGUGAGCAACCUACCUCUUACAAAGGGAUAGCCUCGGGAAACCGUGAUUAAUACCAUAUGACACAUUCAUAAGGCAUCUUAAGAAUGUUAAAGCUACGGCGGUAAGAGAUGGGCUCGCGUCCCAUUAGCUAGUUGGUGAGGUAACGGCCCACCAAGGCGACGAUGGGUAACCGGACUGAGAGGGUGAACGGUCACAUUGGAACUGAGACACGGUCCAAACUCCUACGGGAGGCAGCAGUGGGGAAUAUUGCACAAUGGAGGGAACUCUGAUGCAGCGACGCCGCGUGAGCGAUGAAGGAAUUCGUUUCGUAAAGCUCUGUUCUAUGGGAAGAAAAGGACUGUACCAUAGGAGAAAGCCCCGGCUAAAUACGUG